CGCCUUGUUACCGUACUCCGUACUCAUUCACCCAUACAUUCAUUGUGUGUGUAUGUGUGAAAAGUUACCAUCACCUGAACCGACCAGAACCAAAGGUGUGUCUGCAUGGCAAGUCGCUCACAAUUUUAACACCCGGUCUAUUCAUUCAUUCAUUCCUUCGUUCAGACAAGCAGACAUAUCCACACGCCUCGUCUUGAACUGUGCUUCAGUCCUGCUAAGGGCCCCCGGCACUCGACCAGACUACAUGUGUUCAAAAAGAUACCACCACCCGAACCGAACCAAACCAGGGGCAUGUUAACCACACCUUUCAUUCGUCCAUUCAUUCAUACAUCCAAUCAUUCACGCAGACAAAGAAAUGUAAGCACACGCGCCUGCCCUGCAGUAGUGUGGCCCGGCACAAUGUAGCUGUAGUAGCUGGUACACAGUAAGCACAGUAAGCUGGUACACGCAUAGCACGACCACCAGCAUCUCGAGAGGCCUUUUCAGCGGCCAGCUACUAACUAAUGCAUGAACGUCACAUAGAGGAAGGUAGCAUAAUACGAGCCGUCAACGAUAGGACCAUCACCGCCAACCGGACUGCGUGAACCUGUCUCCAGUGCGUCACGCAGCACACUGACUGCCUUGACGCUUCCAGUUGAGGGAUCCAUGUCGAGGUCGGCCAACCUGUCUGUCAGUGAAUGGCGGUAAGUCAGCCACAAACCAGUCUGUACCUAAUUCCAGGUUGGAUAGAGCCUACUUGAGAGUGGCGCGCUGGUUCUGUUUGUCCUUGUAGUUGAGAUCCUGGGACGAGAUGUUGACAUGGGGCAUGCGCUUGCUCAGCGCGCGCAGUGCAGGGAAGCUGAUGAGGUAUGGCCCGAUCAUCAUCAUCUUCCGGGGGUUGAUGAGCUGGCGCCUGCAGCACGUGUUACAGUGUCGACAUUGCUGAUCCUAUUUGGUACCAGUCAUUCGCCCGUGAAUGCAUGGCCAUGCUCCUGGCUUUUAAUGUACCCCACAGCAGGCCCGCGUACCUUAGGCGCCAGCCAAUGUGCAUUUGGUCAAUAGUCAGCAUGACGGGUUGGAGCACGGACACCCACGUCACUGCAAGGGGCAAUGUAAAAAGCUACCUCCUCUGGCUGGCGUUGUUGUCCUUUGACGCUGAGACCCCGGAUGAUACCCCGCAGCAACUGUUGAAUUGUGCCGUCAACGAGUCCUGAAUGUCAAUCGAUGUCCGAUGGUUAACAAGUCAAGGCAUGUGUACACGCA
RNAcentral lists this long non-coding RNA (1242 nucleotides) under Volvox carteri. RNAcentral's name for it is "long non-coding RNA (VCAR_LNC001018)". The record is from RNAcentral. Lineage: Eukaryota; Viridiplantae; Chlorophyta; Chlorophyceae; Chlamydomonadales; Volvocaceae.